UAAAGGAAAUAAAAAUAAAUGCUUCACAUUUAUUUUAUUGUUGUGGGGGGAUAGUGUAACCGUUUGUUACAAAGUCCUCUGAUUAUUUUUAGUAUAUGUUUAAAUGUUAUUUGUACUGUCACGUUUCUAAAUGUUAAUACAAGGGUUUAUUGUUAGUAGGGUUAGUCAAAUAAAAAUGUUUAAAAAUUGUUAGAUUAUAUGUUAAUUGUAAAACUAGGAUUAGUAGGGUUAAAUAAAUAAAAACACACAAUUGUCAAAACACUAAAACAACACAGUGGGUACAAAUGAACACCGAAGCGUAUAACAGAAAAUGUAAGGUGGCGGAAAGCUGUUCUACGGCUGAUGAAGUACGAUUGCGCGGCACACUAAUUGUUCGCGCCUGGAAGGAGGUAAAAACAACCGCCAAAUUUCAGUGAAUAGGAAGGAGAAGAGCAAUCGAACCCAGAGCAAAGGUUCAGAAUUAAUCUGGCGUUCGUGUGCUGAGGUUCAGUAGAGCAGUGAAUAGUUUGAAGAUUGUGGUAUUUUAUAGAAAUUGUGAGGUGUGAUAAUAAUUCGUUCAGGACCUUUUGGUAUAUUUAUUGAUCGCCUUGGACUGAAGGAAAAUCUUCCCAAGGUAGCACACGAUUCGGCCUAGUGAGCCCUGGAUGCUCACUACGUCUAACCCGUCAAAGACCAGCGAUUGUUCUCUGGCCUUGGGCCAUAACUGCAAAGGAGAACAUACCCCUCUCGGCACGGUCACUCCGGUAUCGUCCUGGGCCUGUCGAUCUCCGUCAAAGAGGGAAGACGCCAGUACUAGCCGUAACUUCAACCUAGAACCCACCAAUUUCGACCAACCGGAAUUCUAGGACCAUCCCAAUUCACCUAACAACAGCAUUGGUACGUACCAGGAAAACCCCACAGCACUCACAUACACUCACACUUACAGAUUGAAAAAAAUAAAUAAAAUAAAGUGAAUCCAAUAAA
This is a long non-coding RNA of Malaya genurostris, 963 nucleotides long. RefSeq lists it as uncharacterized. NCBI's taxonomy places the organism in Eukaryota, Metazoa, Arthropoda, Insecta, Diptera, Culicidae. The transcript has 2 exons. The record is from RefSeq and is a predicted model, not a curated record.